UAGGGAAUAUUAGUAAUGGGCGAAAGCCUGAACUAGCAACGCCGCGUGUGCGAAGAAGGCCUUCGGGUUGUAAAGCACUUUUUGAGAGGAUGAGGAGGGACGGUACUCUCAGAAUAAGUCUCGGCUAACUACGUGCCAGCAGCCGCGGUAACACGUAGGAGGCGAACGUUAUCCGGAUUUACCGGGCGUAAAGCGCGUGUAGGUGGUUUGGUAAGUAGGGCGUGAAAGCUCCUGGCUCAACUGGGAGAGGCCGUUCUAAACUGCCGAACUAGAGGAUGGUAGAGGGAGGUGGAAUUCCGGGUGUAGCGGUGGAAUGCGCAGAUAUCCGGAGGAACACCAGUGGCGAAAGCGACCUCCUGGACCAUUCCUGACACUCAGACGCGAAAGCUAGGGUAGCAAACGG
Molecule: ribosomal RNA, 403 nt
Filed under: uncultured bacterium
Lineage: Bacteria
Description: bacterial SSU rRNA
Rfam family: Bacterial small subunit ribosomal RNA
Source: RNAcentral